AGCCAUGCGAGUCAUUGUAGCAAUACAAGGCGGACGGCUCAGUAACACGUAGUCAACCUAACUCGUGGACGUGGAUAACCUCGGGAAACUGAGAAUAAACCACGAUAGAUCAUAGUGCCUGGAAUGGCUUAUGGUCCAAACAGUUUACUGCCAUGGGAUGGGACUGCGGCCUAUCAGCUUGUUGGUGAGGUAAUGGCCCACCAAGGCGAUUACAGGUACGGGCUCUGAGAGGAGAAGCCCGGAGAUGGGUACUGAGACACGGACCCAGGCCCUAUGGGGCGCAGCAGGCGAGAAACCUUAGCAAUGUGCGAAAGCACGACUGGGUCAGUCCGAGUGAUUCCUGAUAAAGGAGUCUUUUGCUUGUCCUAAAAGCACAGGUGAAUAAGGGGUGGGCAAGUCUGGUGUCAGCCGCCGCGGUAAUACCAGCACCUCGAGUGGUCAGGACGUUUAUUGGGCCUAAAGCAUCCGUAGCCGGCUCUGCAAGUCUUCGGUUAAAUCCACCUGCUCAACAGAUGGGCUGCUGGAGAUACUACAGAGCUAGGGAGUGGGAGAGGCAGACGGUAUUCAGUGGGUAGGGGUAAAAUCCUCUGAUCCAUUGAGGACCACCAGUGGCGAAGGCGGUCUGCCAGAAACACGUUCGACGGUGAGGGAUGAAAGCUGGGGGGAGCAAACCGGAUUAGAUACCCGGGUAGUCCCAGCUGUAAACGAUGCAACUCGGUGAUGCAUUGGCUUAUGGCCAAUGCAGUGCCGCAGGAAGCCGUUAAGUUUGCCGCCUGGAAGUACGGACCGCAAGUCUGAAACUCAAA
Molecule: ribosomal RNA, 806 nt
Filed under: uncultured archaeon
Lineage: Archaea
Description: bacterial SSU rRNA
Rfam family: Archaeal small subunit ribosomal RNA
Source: RNAcentral